UAGGGAAUAUUGCAAAAUGUGCGAAAGCCCGAUGCAGCAACGCCGCGUGGGCGAUGAAGGCCUUCGGGUCGUAAAGCCCUUUUUGAGGGGAUGAGGAAGGACAGUACCCUCAGAAUAAGCCUCGGCUAACUACGUGCCAGCAGCCGCGGUAAAACGUAGGAGGCGAGCGUUAUCCGGAUUUACUGGGCGUAAAGCGCGUGCAGGCGGAUUGGAGAGUUGGAUGUGAAAGCUCCCGGCUUAACUGGGAGAGGUCGUUCAAUACUUCCAGUCUUGAGUGCAGUAGAGGGAAGUGGAAUUCCGGGUGUAGUGGUGAAAUGCGUAGAUAUCCGGAGGAACACCAGUGGCGAAAGCGGCUUCCUGGACUGUAACUGACGCUCAGACGCGAAAGCUAGGGUAGCAAACG
RNAcentral lists this ribosomal RNA (403 nucleotides) under uncultured bacterium. RNAcentral's name for it is "bacterial SSU rRNA". It matches the Rfam family "Bacterial small subunit ribosomal RNA", at positions 355 to 774 of the family's 1533-position model. The record is from RNAcentral.